UCGCCUGUUUAUCAAAAACAUAGUUUUAUGAUACUUAUAUAAAAUAACUUCUGCCCAGUGUCUAAAAAGAUAAAUGGCCGCAGUACCUUGACUGUGCUAAGGUAGCAUAAUCAAUUGGCUUUUAAUUGAAGUCUAGAAUGAAUGGGAAAAUGGAAUUUAGCUGUCUUAAUUUUUUUAAUUAAAAUUUAUUUAUAAGGUGAAAAUACCUUAAAAUUAAAUAAAGACGAGAAGACCCUAUGAAUUUUUAAAUGUAUUUUUGUUGGGGCGACAGUUUAAAAAUAAUCUUAAAUUUAUAACAUAUAACGAAUUUUUUAAUAAAAAUUAAAUUACCUUAGGGAUAACAGCAUUAUUAUUAAAAUAGUUUGUGACCUCGAUGUUGGACUAGGAACUAAAAGGCUAACCGUCUUUAUAGAUUUGUUCUGUUCGAACAAUUUAAUCCUACGUGAUCUGAGUUCAGACCGGA
RNAcentral lists this ribosomal RNA (463 nucleotides) under Gyraulus sp. clade B TS-2018. RNAcentral describes it as "partial 16S ribosomal RNA". It matches the Rfam family "Bacterial large subunit ribosomal RNA", at positions 1796 to 2620 of the family's 2925-position model. Lineage: Eukaryota; Metazoa; Mollusca; Gastropoda; Planorbidae. The record is from RNAcentral.